This 253-nucleotide ribosomal RNA is filed under the name uncultured bacterium. Its description in RNAcentral is "partial 16S ribosomal RNA". It matches the Rfam family "Bacterial small subunit ribosomal RNA", at positions 524 to 776 of the family's 1533-position model. The record is from RNAcentral.
UACGAAGGGGGCUAGCGUUGUUCGGAAUUACUGGGCGUAAAGAGCUCGUAGGUGGUUUGUCGCGUUGUCCGUGAAAACUCACAGCUUAACUGUGGGCGUGCGGGCGAUACGGGCAGACUGGAGUACUGCAGGGGAGACUGGAAUUCCUGGUGUAGCGGUGGAAUGCGCAGAUAUCAGGAGGAACACCGGUGGCGAAGGCGGGUCUCUGGGCCGAUAUUGACGCUGAGGAGCGAAAGCGUGGGGAGCGAACAGG